CGCGGGGUGGAGCAGUGGUAGCUCGUCGGGCUCAUAACCCGAAGGUCACAGGUUCAAGUCCUGUCCCCGCAA
This is a transfer RNA of Caryophanon tenue, 72 nucleotides long. It matches the Rfam family "tRNA". Rfam says of the family: Transfer RNA (tRNA) molecules are approximately 80 nucleotides in length. Their secondary structure includes four short double-helical elements and three loops (D, anti-codon, and T loops). Further hydrogen bonds mediate the characteristic L-shaped molecular structure. tRNAs have two regions of fundamental functional importance: the anti-codon, which is responsible for specific mRNA codon recognition, and the 3' end, to which the tRNAs corresponding amino acid is attached (by aminoacyl-tRNA synthetases). tRNAs cope with the degeneracy of the genetic code in two manners: having more than one tRNA (with a specific anti-codon) for a particular amino acid; and 'wobble' base-pairing, i.e. permitting non-standard base-pairing at the 3rd anti-codon position. NCBI's taxonomy places the organism in Bacteria, Bacillati, Bacillota, Bacilli, Caryophanales, Caryophanaceae. The record is from Rfam.